RNAcentral lists this long non-coding RNA (2917 nucleotides) under Volvox carteri. RNAcentral's name for it is "long non-coding RNA (VCAR_LNC001828)". Lineage: Eukaryota; Viridiplantae; Chlorophyta; Chlorophyceae; Chlamydomonadales; Volvocaceae. The record is from RNAcentral.
GAGGGUGGCCCAGGCUCUAUCGGAUGCCAUGGCUCAGGCAUCUAGCUUGUGGCAAACAGGCCCGAGCUGUGUGCGGCAGGCUGCCACAGCGACAGCAGCAAUGGGGGUCGCAGCAAGCUUAGGUUGUUUCUUCCCGCUCCAGCGCUUUGCCGCGCUCCAUCCGCCGCCGCCGCGUGGCCCGAACUCCCCACCCCAACCCCACACAAACAUAUGGAUCCACAAGUACAGUUUUUCCGUACUGCGAACAACCCCCGCCUGAGAAUAUGAGAACAGAGCCGCUUGGGCGUUGUGUCGCCUGGAGAUCAGACACCCAAUCUAGAGUAUAUGUGCGCUGGGAAACCUGUCGGGAAGGCUUGUUGCUGGCCGUGCGGGCCGAUGCGGCGUGAAUUCUCGUCGGGCACGUGAAUUCUCGUCGGGAAAUGCCGGGGUACAUAUUCUCGGACGCAAGACGUGGAGCCUUGAUUGCUGCGAUAAAUCAUGUACAAGCGGUGAGUGCUACCGACGCACCGUCGAGUGAGGGAGAAACUCCCGCCAGGCGGUUCGCUGGUUUCCGUCGCAAUGGAGAGGUUUACUCGUCGUCGAAAACUUGUCGAAAACAGGAGCUAAUAGUCCUAUAUGAUAAUAAUGGUGGCACCGAUAACAACAUUUCAGGUUUGAAUGCAGCUUCUUGUCAGUGGAAGGCUCGGAUUACGGUGUCUGGGGGGUCGUAGCGGGGAGGAAGUGGGGGAACAACGUGGGUGGAAGUACCGUAAAGGAUGAUUUUGAAACAUUGCCGCUUGUCACAAAACUAGACUAAGGCACAAUUGAAUAUCAAGGAGAAGGUCGUCGUGAAUCCUGAGCUCUCGACCCUUCUCAGCCUUUCGUUCGGCCGAGCCUAGUUAAGCUGCGCGGCGUAGCCGCGGACGCUGUGCGCCCGAAGCCCUCGAGGAGGCGAGAUCCUUGGCAUCGACAUGUCGUUUUCUCGAACCACGUGUUUUGCUCAGAGAACUAAGCAAGAUAAUUAUGAUCCUCGCGAUGCUGCAAAAGCGGUUGCAUAUAGGCCAUGCUUAGGCUAUACUGCUGGUCAAAAUGCAGCAGCGGGCAGGUAACAGCAGGCUAUAGGGAUAGAAUCUCAGGUCAAGAUAAAUCAUCAAUAUAAUGCUGUCGUUGUUGGCUUGAAGGAAUGUGCCCUUGUAUGAGUUUCAAGGAAAAUGAAGCCGCAAGGAUGCAGCACCGCAGUGUGAACAGGCCCAAAUUCUUGAAUGCAAUAGCAAAUGAAUGCGACUUAGGUUAGGAAUGGGCGUAUCCAUCCCGCAGUUCAGACGUACUUUGCUCCGUACAGGAGUUUCGACUACAACAAAGCUAUUGCUCUCCUUCCUCCAUCCGCUGACUUUGAAGCAUUUAAAAGGAAAGGUUUCAUACCGAAUGUUCAUAUGCAUCCAUGCAGUCGCAUUUCGAUGUACUGGGUGACACGAAAGCGAGAAGACGAAACGGCAAGGUCUGAACGUACAAUCAUGUGGAAACGUAUAUGUCAACUGUCACUGCUCGGCUGUCAGUUAGGAAGUCCUGUGAAGGAAAAAUUGAAAAAAGCUGAUGCCAUCAUCCAUAGCUGGAGGGUAUGACAAACUGCAUGCUGCGUAUAUGCGCUUCCAUCUGUUUACAGCUCUUUCACUGAGAACAUCGCGCAUGUCGGAAACCGCAGGCUGCAACGUCGAAACCUGUCGCCUACAAACCAGCACGCACCCUCGAAGUACACUGUCAUGAACUGUUCAGCGACGUGCCCGCUCCUUUCCGCGACAAUUCACCAGGGGGCGGAAGCACGUUACUGCUACAGUUCUCAAGUUUGCGAGAAUUACAUGACCAUUAGAGGGUGACCUAGCAAAUGGACAGCUGGGAAGCUUUGAGAGCAUCUGAGGGAAUGAGCGCAGUUGCAGUGGCAUUCUGUGUGCUCCAACUGCGACGGUGAGCAAUCGGCCGGCCAGCCGUUAGACAAACAUCCUUCGCCUUCGUCAUCCUUUGCCUCCUGCUCACCCCUGAUCGAUGGCCGUAGAAGAUGCACCUUUGCCCCGCACGCCUCUGGCUGAAUCCAGCGGUGAUUUGCUCGGCCACGCAGGUCCGCGCCGUCUCUCGCAUCCCGCGGCAGUUUUCCCCAGCUGCCGGCCCUCACUAAUGGAGGAAAGGAUAAGUGGAUACGAAUCCCAACUCGGAAUCCAUUAAGUGAAACCCACACUAUUUAGACCUUCUGACACACAGUGGCUCCCACCCCCCCCACACACACAAGGAGUUACCAAGCACGUACGAUUGCCUUCAACAUACCGCAAUGAGCAAUACGCACUUAUCCACCCUCAACCAAAAUCUUUCGGUGUUUGGAAUGUGCGUUGAUCGUUGAUGUGACUGACCAGACUGAGUGGAUUGCGCUUUGGGGCUCUCUUACCUGUGAAUCAAGGCGCGUCAAGGCGUGCUUGAGGGGCGCGGUAAUGGUAAGUCAGUGAAAGCCUGGUAAUGCCAGAUAAAGCUGGGGUUUGGGUAGGGCAUGGCAUGACACAGAGAGACGCAUUUACGCCGGUCCAGGCUCGUCGGGAAAUGUUUUGCCCGGCUACGUGGCCCGCCUGAAUCUGCACAUAACUUGCAUCUGUCCCAGCCAUAUUGAUGGCAUAUAAUUGAUAAGCCAGGCAAAACGAAGCAUCGAAGGAAAGCACACAUCCUCUAGGGCCGCUCCUCAUGAUCACUGGAAAUGACAGAGAUUGUACGGCAGCACUUGAAGUACCGGUAGAACACGCGGAUGGUGCGCUUAUGGGGGAUAGAGAGGCAUAUAGGGCGGCCUAGGGUUGAACUGAGCGUAUAUCCCUCUACGGAUGGAAGACCCAUGGUGGAAGCCGGCCUGUGUGUUCUCCUUUGCGUUGGGAUUUGCUCUGUUGGGCUGCUCCUUGGGCCUGGC